AGGUUCUAAAUAAAACUUGAAAAUAGAAAAUGGAAAAUCCUAAUGGAAAACAAAAAAGUGGCGAGGCUAAAAAGCACAGACAACGUACAAAGAAGUUGCUUAACUUGAUACAGAAACAGCAUUCCCUGCUGCAUUGAACGCUGUUAAAAUAUAUUCUGAAUAAAAAGAUUUCCGCCCACCGUAUCAUCGCUGCAUGGUUCACCAAGCAUGUCUGUAGAUUUUAAAGUAAAACGAAAAUGCUAUCAAUGUCAGGAAAACGAGCAGCGCAGGUAAACGAGAAAAAAAAACAAUAAAAAAAGGACCAUAGAAAAAAAGGAAAAAGAUCCAAAAGCAACACUCUUAGAAGAAAUGCGAUUAAUGAAGAUUUUAAAUGCAGAUUAAUGAAGAUUUAUGAUUUUAGAAAAAGGAAGUUGGAUUGGAAAUAGAAUAAAGUCCCCAUUAUGCAUAUCCAAAAGAGCUUGACUUUUACUUUAGCGAUGCAAACCUGCACCAUGAUAGAUUUUUUCGCAAAGAAAUAGAGACAAAUACUGAAGGCUAUAUUGAGUUAGCAACAAUAUUAAAAUGCAACAAAAUUAAACAAUUGACGAUGGAUAUGACUGUGCUUGCAAAAGCUGUUGAAAAUUCAGAUCAACUGCAGCUCAGUGAUGAUCGAACAAAGUUGAAAAGAAUCAAACCAUUGCCUAGGCAUGAAAAUACAGAUUUACAAACUGUUUAUGUGGAACAGUUACCAGCUUAUGUUGACCAUGACUGGUUGAAGCAAGUAUUUUCAACAUGCGGAACAGUAGAUUACAUCAGUUUACCAAGAUAUCCACAAACAAACAAAAUUAAAGGAUUUGCCUACGUUGAAUUCUCGAAUCAACAAGGUGCUGAAAAGGCUUGCCAGAUACUCAACUCAGCUGCUCCAUAUAAAAACAAAAAACGCCAUAGUUCAUUGGAUUCAAAAUUACCCUACGUGGAAGAGAGUAAACCCAAGUUGGGAGGUAAACGAAGGAGAUCCAAAAGUUUAAGUGAAUCGGUUUCAGAGGACAAGAAUUGCAAAGUAAACAUUUUAAAACGAAAACGAAGUGCCAGUGUAAGCUCGGAAGACUCACCUGUUAAACCCAAACUUCGAAAGCAAGAUCGAAACUGCAAGGAGAGUAAACAAAGCGAGUCACAAUCGAGUUUAAAUAAUUAUAUACAUUUAUCUAUUAAGGGAAAAAGAAGUAGAGACUCUUCUAACGAUGAAAACGAAAAUUCAAAACAGGUUAAUUAUAAAACUACCACAAGUGGUUGCACUGAAACAUGUAAAAGUAGACGUAAAGAAGUUACAAGUGAGAAGAAAAGUCAAGGAGAUAUAAGUAAGAAGAAAAAACCCCGCAAACAUAAAAAAACACAACAACACAUCAACGGUGAUAAUGAUGCAAGAGAAAUAUGCGUUCCACCACUUUACGUAAUUAGCAAGACCGAGUGGCUGGUUCUAAAAAAACAGUAUAAAAAUCUGUGCAAAAAGGAAAUAUCUCAACUGAAGCGAACAAUGAAAAUAUUAAAGAGUGAGAAAGUUUAUCAGGUUGAGCUUAAAGAAAAAAUUCAAAAAACUAUAAUGGAAAAAAAGAAUUCACAAAGUGAAAAAACGAUUUUGCAAAGCAGGCCCAAGCAUGAGCAACAACACAAAGACGAAAAUACCAACCAACAAGCUGUUAUAAAAAAUGAUGAUCCAGCUUUAAAGCCAGAAAAAACUUUCCAAGUCACUCCUGGCACUGUAGUGAAGAUGAAAACAGACUCAAAUGAACUAACUAAAAAGACAAUAAAGGAGGUAUUGUCAAAACUGGUGCAAGUUUCGUAUGUUGACUACAAGGAUGGCGGUAGGACGGGGUUUAUUCGAUUUCCAACAGCUGAUGCUGUGGAGAAGUUACGUAAAGUUGAAUUUUCGACAUCUGCGUCUUGGAACUUCACUUUGACUAAAAUUUCAGAAUCUGAAGAAGAGGAGUAUUUUAAGAAGGCUGAAGAAGACAGACGUAAAAAAUACGAACAGAAUAAUAAACGAAAGAAAACACGUGGCGUAGAGAAGUUAACACUCGCAUUUCCUUAACCUUGAAUUAAGGUAAAUACGGAACGGAAUACGAAUCCUUCAAAGAUGCAUAAAGGUAUCAAGAGCUGCUCUAAAACAUUUAAAAAUGAUUGGAUUGCAGUGGACAAGGUAGAUUUAUCCCUCAAUGAGGCUAACUACAUAACAUGUAACCCACUAUUGUCAUAUGAAUGAUUUCUGUCACAAAAAGGUAGUUUUGGAAGUAUUGAAAACUCACAUUUCACACAUUUGAGAUUUCAGAAUUAGGAUAUUAAAUUGAAUUUUUCAUUCUGUUUGGGGCAAGUUAGACUUUAACCUCAUGUUCUUGCUUGUUCUUGUCACAUUUCAAGCCUCUAUCCCAGCUUCUAUUUGGUAAACAAAAAUGAAAUGAAAUUUCCCAGUGAUUUUGCUCGGUCGAAACAAAUUUUUCCUUUGAGGAACAAUUUUAAAAAAAAAUUCUUGAAAAAAAAAUGGUUCUGACGUAGAAAUAAAAAAGUCACAAUUGUAAAAUUUUGUUCACUAAGGGAUAGUUAUAUCAAACUUUAAUCCGAGAAAACUAUGUGACAUUUUUUUGUUAAGUCAAAACGAAUGUUUGAUUUGAUAUUUUCACAAAUCGACACUGAAAAUAUUCCAUAAAGAUUAUUUAUGUGAAUAGAAACUUCCGCGAAACAAAGUUUGUGAUUUUUGGUCUACAUAGGAAAAAUUAGGCCCCGCGAAAAAAUUGACUUCUAUAAAUCACGAAAUUUUAUUCUCGCGAAAUAUUUGAUUUUUCCCCACUUGCAUUUGUAUAUAUUUUGUAUUGUAGUGUGAAGUAAUACAUAUUUUAUUUCUUCGUUAUACCCUUGAAUUCCCGAAAGUUAAUUCUCGCGAAAAAUCCAAUAUCAGCCAAUUCGCGAAAUUCACAAAAUUUUCUAUCAAAGAUUUUGCAAUUGUUUUGCCUCGCAAAACUUAAUUUCGCGAAAGUAAAUGAAGUUUUUAAGUAAACAAAUUGGAACAAUUGUGCAAGAUUAAUUUUCAAGAUUGUAUGUAUAUAUAAGCGAGAACACAAUAUAAAAAAGGUCGUUGGUUGUUGGAAAAACAUUGAGGCUAAAAUUUUGCACGUUUACAGCUGAAAUCCAGACGUUCUGAUAAGAAAAAGUUGUAUAUUGUUUUCUUUUCUACUGGAUAAAAAUCAAAAUAUAUAGAGUGCCAUUGAAAAUCCCGUUUUACUUUUUCUAUAUGUGGAGAUUUGUGAUAAGCUUUAUGCUCUAUGAAUUACCAUAGAAGUAAGUAUUAAGGUUAGCCAUAUAAUAUUAAUAGUAUAAAUAUUCACAGUCAGUAAGAGGUAGUGACAGGGAGUGUGACUUUCUUUGUCGAUUGCUCAUGCAGCUAAGUCAUAUCUGCAACCCUGGAAAACAUAGCCUUUUCUGUCGAAAUCUCUCCCCUGAUUAGAGUAAUAUGAAGUGUCACUGAGUGUUAGUAAACUUUACGCCAGUUUUAGUUUAAAAUUUAUUAGGGAACAGUAAAAUAAAAAAGUAUUUAUAUCCUAAAAACGCUAGGUAGAUAGGUUUUAGUUUUAGCUCGCUAACAUAUACCAACAGAUACACUUAAAGCUGCAGUAUUUAAACUUGUUUGUCGCACUACCACUAUCGAACUACCCUCUUUAUAAAUGUUAAUUACGAUUUUGGGACACUGUCAGGUUAGAGCUGUAAAAGUCAACAUUUUGUGGAUUCAUUCUUCAAACUUGCAUGUAAACAUCCAUCAUUUCGUAAUUUGCUCAUAACUAAUCUCUUUUUUAUGUUAUUCUGCAUUUUUCCACGCGUAUUUCGCGAAAAUGUAUAUGGAAAUAGGUCUAUUGAAUCUUUAAAAAUAUUGCCUUGAAAGAUAUUUCCCAUGCUUUGGUGUGUUUUGUUUUUUCAGGACACAAAAUAAUAUCAGUAAAAUUUCAGCCUUCUCCAUGUUCUUAUUUUGUGUUUGUUUUUUAGCUAUUCUCAGCCUUAUUGUUCAAAAGGGAAGAAUGAAAAUUAACUGGAUACUCUACAAAAUAAUAAGUCAAAUAACUAGUCAUGUUGCGAAUGCUAUCUAUCUAUAUAAUAAUACGCCAGUUCCGUGUCUCUGUGACAGGCAAAGUGGAUGUCUUCAUUUUUCUUUGAUGUUGCCGAAAAAUGCAUGUCUAAUAUGUUAAAUUUUCUGACGUUACGACGCGACGUCAAUAGCACUACUUUAACGUCAAUAUCCUAUAUUAAAUUAAUGAAGCCAUUACAGUGCACCUAAAAUUUAGAGGCCAAAUAACUUAGAAACGAGGUGGUGACGUCAAUGAUUUUUCACCGCGUGGGUAAUUAGGGACCACCUAUGACUAAUUUGGGUAAUUUUUCCAAACCCGGUCCCCAAAUCCGUUUCGGAAUGGACGGGUUGAUGACGUCAUCAAAAAACCUUCAACCCUUAAUAUCUCUGCAACCGUUUGUCAAAAGUACAUAAUCCUAUACAUUUUCUUGAUCAGCGUUUCAAGAUUUAUACGAUGUAGGCAACAGGUAUACAAAUUUCUAAAAAAAAUUUUUUAAGGUUUUGACGGGCCAUUGCUGACGUCAGCAAGAUAUUUAAGCCUUUAUAUCUUCUUAACCGUUCGUCAAUAGCACAUGAUCAUUACAUUUUCUUGAUCAGCAGUUUAAGCUCUACACGAUGGAGGCAACGUGAAAACAAGGUUCUUUUUUGUGGAUCGGUUGCUGACUUCAUUAAAAUUCGAAUGACGCUUCUUCUUCAUAUUUAUCCUGCCUCAGUGGAUUUUUCCACGGGCUUUAUCGACUAGUCUCUUAUAAUAAUACGGAGCUUCUGUCUGUGACUUUUGCAAAGUGGAUAAAAUUUCUUUGAUAAAGUCUAUAAAACAUCGCCUAUAAAUUUGUUCUGUAAAUUAGCAAACUUUGACGUUAAAGCAAUAUUGACGUCAAAGGAAAGUAUAUUAAGAUUAGUGAAGCCAUUGCAUUGCACUUUUAAAUUUAAGGCUUAAUAACAUGAAAACGGGUGGAAAUAACUGACGUCAUCUCCUGCGUGGGUAACUAGGGACCACCUAGGACCAAUUUGGGUAAGUUUCCCAAACCUGGGUCCCCAAAUCCGUUUCGGAAUGGGUGGGUUGAUGACGUCAUCAAAAAACCUUUAAACCCUAAUAUCUCUGCAAUCGUUUGUCAAAAGUACAUAAUCCUAUACAUUUUCUUGAUCAGCGUUUCAAGAGCUAUACGAUAGAGGCAGCAGGUAUAUAAAUUUCAAAAAAAAAUGUUUUGUGUUUUCACGGGCCUUUGCUGACGUCAGCACAAUUUUUAAAUCCUUAUAUCUGCUUUUGCGUUGGGAUCUUCACUGCUGCCUCCAGCAAAACAUCUAAAACAACCUAUUUUUCCAUUGCCCAUCUGCCUAAGUGGAUUUCUCCACGGGCCUUAUCGACUAGUCUAUAUAGUAAUACGCCAGUUCUGUCUGUGACUUUUGCAAAGUGGAUAAAAUUUCUUUGAUAAAGUCUUUAAAACAUCGUCUAUAAAUUUGUUCUGUAAAUUACCAAACUUUGACGUUAGAGCAAUAUUGACGUCAAAGGAAAGUGUCUAUAAUAAUAGCCGUAUUCCGUCUGUCUGUCUGUCUGUCUCUGCGCGGAACAUGGCGGAGCAAGUAGCGAGACAUACGCAAAAUCCCCGCGGCCCUGCAGCUUUGUUCAAUCACGAGGCUCCAUUUUUACUACUGACCAAUCCAAGUGCUUCGCGGCCUCAACAUGCCAACGGAGGAAACAUGCUACCCCUAAAUAGGUCAUUUUGUUCCUUUUUUCUUCUGAGUACUUUGUAUCCUAUAGGAUUAUUUAGUUUCUGUGUUUUCACAUGUUCAGGUGAGUAUAACAUGACGUUUUCUAGCCAUGUAUAAAUCUUAAACAAAACAAUUUUUGAAGUGGCUACAAGUACGUGACCGUAUUUCUACUUUUUUUUUGCUAGAAGUACGGCAUCCACGUAUUUUUACUAUUUUUUGCUAGAAGUACGGCAUUUACGUAUUUUUACUUUCUUUUGCUGGAAGUACGGCACUCACGUAUUUCUUUUUUCUAGAAGUCGCUUGGCCAGCGGGUUGGUUGGAGAGUUGACGAUAAAAAGAUAUUUUCUUUUUAGGUUCUCUGUACUAGGAGCUUUUAUUUACAUCUCUACAACUUUGACUACGUAUGUUCAACGGCUGAUUAUAUGUUUUCAGGCUACGGUCAUGUUAAGAAUAUUAUCAAGAAGAUAUGAUGCUCAUAUUAGUAAAAAAAAAGAACAUUGAGGCUGCAACGAGUAUAUGUGUACCUUUGUCAAAUAGUUCAGCGCUAGUGUGGGGAAUGAAGUGAAAUCUAAGUUGUCGAAAGUUAUUUUUUGAAUAGUAUAUUACACCGGAAACACCAUAAAGUUGUGUGCACUUUACUUGAUUUUCUACACACUUUAUGGCUGUACUAAAGCGCUUUACCUCCUGAAUGUGUGGCACAGUUGACAGUUCUUCUUAAUCACUCAAUCUGGUGUUUAAUGCUGGGUAACAGCCCCUUGUGGCUUAACCCGGCGUUUCAACAGAGUGUAUCCUGUGUUUUGUAAACCAAAGCCGCAAUAGAUUUUUUGAAUAGGGUCUUAAGCCUAAACGCAUGUGCUGCACGGUUUACCUGUACUAAGCGCUCAGUCCAGUGUCACAAUUAAUUUGUUAACCUUUACUGAAACUUAUUUCGCAAAAUAAAAUAAAAUUGACCAAUUGUUUUCCUAUGACGGGGUAACAAAUGGUUGUAACUUGUGUUUUUAUUUUGGCUAAAGUUGCAGUAGAGUUAUAUUUUCAAAAAUACACUACAGCCGAAACACUAUAGUGUUGUGUUCGCUUUACUCGAUUAACGACAUACUGCAUACCUGUACUGAAGCGCUCCACUUGACCAUGUGGCACAGUUUACGGCUCUUAUUAAGCGCUUCACAUAGUGUUCAACGGCGUGUCACACCUUGACUUGUGACUUACCCCGGCGUUUCGACGCCGGGUUUCCCGGCUAUCUAUAUUAUAUUGCCUGUGUACAUCUGUUUGUCUGUCACACAAAAUGGUAGCUUAGCUGCGUAAUAGCGAGAAGCACGCAAUGCGGUAUAAAAAGGACGGGCGAACCCGUGGAUUUUCCACGGGCUAACGACUAGUAUAUUAAGAUUAGUGAAGCCAUUGCAUUGCACUUCUAAAUUUAAGACUAAAUAACUUGGAAACGAGUGGAAAUAACUGACGUCAUCUCCUGCGUGGGUAACUAGGGACUAGCGGGGACCAAUUUGGAUAAGUUUCCCAAACCUGGGUCCCCGAAUCCGUUUCGGAAUGGACGGGUUGAUGACGUCAUCAAAAAACCUUUAAACUCUAAUAUCUCCGCAACCGUUUGUCAAAAGUACAUGAUCCUAUAUAUUUUCCUGAUCAGUGUUUCAAGAUCUAUACGAUGAAGGCAACAGGUAUACAAAAAAAUUAUGCUUUGGCAGAUCUUCGCUGGCGUCAGCCAAUUUCUUAAACCCUUAUAUCUCCUUAAGCGUUUGUGGAAAACGUAUGAUCCUAUACAUUAUUUUGAUCAGCGUUUCAACCUCUACACAUUACAGGCAAAGAAUAAACUAACUUUCGCCCAUUAUUUUUUUAUCUGCACUGUUGACAUCAGCAAAACAACUAAAACAACCUAUUUUUUUAUUAUUCUUCUGCCUAAGUGGAUUUUUCCACGGGCCUUAUCGACUAGUUAUGUAAUAAUAAUAAUUUGUUAUUUUUAUUGCUAGAUGUGCCUUAACCUUUUUGUGUAAAACAGUUUAUUGAACAUAUUUCAUAAGUUUAUACUCGUUGUUAAUAGUACAGGGAAGUAUCUUUUCCUUAAUUUACACACUGUUAGUAACGUUGAGCUUAUUUAGUACUGCUAUUGUAUUUAUAUAUGUGAUAAAAUCCUUCAGCCAUUCUACCUAUGACUCAGAAUAAAAUGCUUUUUAUUAACAUUUGUUUAGAUUCUUUUUCAGGACCUUGCUUAAAUUUUUCUUUUGGUUUAAUUUGCCGAUCAACUAGAAAAAUCGUUUUAACGUCCACAUUAUGUAAACACGUGCAAUUAAUUAUUUCAAAAUUUCGAUGGCGUCUGCCAGGACCAGUCAGCACACCAAAAAUUUUUUUGAAAAUUUGUUUACACGCUGCUUUUAUUGUGUAAAUCUGAAAACGCUGAUAAAGAAAAUGUAUAGAACCAUCCGCUUUUGAUGAACGGUUAAGGAGAUACAGUUAAACUCAUGUAAUUCGAAUCUGCAAGGGGAUUCAAUAUUGGUCGAAUUUUGGUGGGGAAGUGUUAACGGGUUUACGGCGCUAUUAAUCAUCAAUGUUGUAACAUCCUACGAAGUAAAAUGACGCGUAGUGUUUGAGAAAUAAGUUGCUAUUUUCAUGUAAAACAAGUGUUACAAAUUUUUAAUUAUUAUUUUUCUCAUAAAAGUCCAUGAUUUUGCUCUGACUCCUAUUAACCAAUCUUCAAUGGUUGCUCUUAUCGGACAUUUGCGACACCAGAGUAUCAAACUUUGGAUCCGUCUCAAACAACGUCAGUCUCUAUUGCGUCUUCAAUUUUGUAUUGUGACGGUGGCGAAACUGGAUUGUCGUUACGACAGUCAUCAUUGUCAUCAUUAGAGCUAGCAUCACGAUCAACAAUCUCGACCUCUUUAUAUUCACUCACUAUUUCAGCGACAGACAACGGGCGUGAUUCAUUGGUCAAAAGCUUUAUGUCGAAAUCCACAAGGGAUUCAGCACCCAAAUCCUCAGGAGCCAUGUAUGGUCUGACCUUAAAAAGUUGGUCUAAAUCAAAAUUCAGCUCAUCCAAAACGUCUUGCUCAUCAGCACUUUCAUCAUCUGAAUCAUUGGUCCUAUUCUUGAAAGGGUCGUCAUCAUCGUCAACAGCAGCUUUCCGAGCAUCUUCUGAAAUUCCUGAUUUUCGAAAACAGUUAACGAUUGUUGUUUUAGAUACAUCAUCCCAAGCUGUCUUGAGCAUCAUCAUGGCUUUUAGGAUUGAUGUGUUUGGCAGCUCUUGUCUAACCCUCUUAUGAUCUUUCGAACACCAAUGACAAGGGAUCGGUAUUUGGCCUUUAAUGAAUGCCAUUGUUGGGAAUGAUGUAAAAUAUCAACAGACAAACAAAACACUCAAAAAGCAUUCUAUUCUAUUUCAAUGAAACGUUCCAUUGGUAAAAACGUUCGAAUUUCACGGGAAAGUUCAAUUAUUGGAAAAAUUCGAAUUUCAUUGAAACGUUCAAUUGUUAAAAAAAUUGAGUUUUAGAACUUUGAACAGACGAAAAUUUUCAAAAUUCUAAUUACAUAAUCAAAAUUUGCUCACGGGACCAAGAAAACUGUUCGAUUUACGUGAGUUUGAAUUAUAGGAGUUUUCUUAUAAGGAUUUUAGAGUAAACUCGGACGGGACCGGAGAAUUCGUUCCAUUUAUAUGAUUAUUCGAAUUAUAGGAGUUCGAAUUACAUGGGUUCAACUGUAUAAAGGUUUAAAAAUCUUGCUGACGUCACCAAAGCUCCCCCUAAAAGUAAAAAAAUAUUUUCUUUAGAAAUUUGUAUACCCGUUGCCUUCAUCGUAUAAGAUCUUGAUGUAAUUUUAACAAACGGUUACGGAAAUAUAGCGGUUUAAAAAAUUUUUGAUGACGUCUAUUCCUAAACGUAUUCGGGACCCAGGUUUGGGGGACAGGUAAAAUAUAUUUCAAAGAGAACCACAUCAUUACAAUGAAAAAACACAUAUAGAACCGAAGACAUUAAGCGUGGAAAGAUAACACUAAACAUUUAAAAGUUGACACUACAGUUCUAGUUAUCGGAGAGCAUCUGCUUCUUUUCGCACUAGUUCAAAAUCGGGCAUCUCAAUAAAUCUCUUUUUGUGCGUGCGUGAUCCACGGAUGGACAGAAUCAUCCAUCUCAGCAGACUGUAAUUAACUCUUGUUCCUACAUAACUAACAAUUAAUUCACUAAAUUCCUUGUUUUUUUUAGCGUUGUAUGCUCUGCUUACUUAGCGUAAAAUCUACGACACUCCCGUUCCAUUCCUUCAGUGGCGCUAAAAACGAGUGGUGUGAACAAACCAUUUUUAGUUUGUAUAAUUCUAUCAUAUGCUCUUUUCUCCGACUUUUCGUUCGUGGCAUACGCCUUUUUCAUAGAAAUCUUUCUAUAGCAUUAAGCUUGUGGGUUGUAUACCCUUACAUCGAGAUACGCUCUCUGUCCAUAGCAUUAGAAAUCUCUAGCUGCAAUGUCAACACGGACCUCGUCUUGUUAAUUGUUGGAUGCAAUUUGCUCACCAGUCAACGGCUCGAGAUCUGGCUCUGUUGCACACAUCAGACAAUAGCUGGGUUGUAAUAUCCCUUAAUUCGUUGUGUCGUCUUGCAAUGAACCCUCCAGUAUGAAAGUCAAUGCAUGCUGCACAGUAAAUGGUGAACCGCAUGUAUGUAUGUAUGUUUCUUUAUUUAACGUUGGUCAAAUUUACAAGAUAGCUUUCGCUAAUAAAAACCAAAACCGCAUGGACAUCGUUCCGGUAAUCUGGUAUGUGGUAGGUUGUAUCUCAAGCGAAUAGCAUCCUAGAACGAUCUUUUAUCUAAUGUAAAAUUAUACUUUUCCAACGAAAGAACAGUCAACCAGUUGUAUGCUCCUCUGUCUGUAGAAGUAUCAAGUGUGCGCAUUUGUAAUUCGUUUACGGCCAUGGCUUUUACGGCUUUUAACUGUGCUUCAUUUCGGUCUUUUUUAUCGACUUGAAUCUGACUUUUUACUUUUCACAUUUUUUCUUCUUUGUUAAGCUUGACUUCUCGUUGUUCAAAAGCAGCGUUGCUUUCGUAAUUUUGAGUAUAACUUUGGAAGGUUUGCCGUUUGCAAUAGACUAAAUAGCUGAUCUUGUAUGACUUAACGACAAAUGUUGGAUUUUUUUUUAAUGUUUGGUUUCCUUUUUUUUUCCCUGGUGUACUUCUUGAAUGGCAAAGCAAGUAUAUAAUUUUAGCGUAUUUCGCUUUUUACGUAACGGUUGUUAGACGCCUUUGAUUUUUUUGGACAUUUUCCAUUUUUAUUUCAUAAUUUUUUUCAAUAUUUUUUUUGUUGCACAUGCUUAUAUUUUUAGACGUUUUGUUUCAGCGGUUAUAAACAUAGAAUAAUGCAGAUUGUGAGCUUCAAAUUACUGUGUUGUAUGUUUUUGUUUGGUAUCCCUUACAUCGAUUUAUGAGAGGUUUAGUGGAUUCUUCCACGGGAAUUUGGCUAGUCUAUAUAUUAAUACGCCUUGUGUGCGUGCGCGCACGGUGAGGCCAUGGCACACAAAUCACGGGUCACUUUCUUAUUUCUCAAGCAUUGUCUCUCCAAUGCAUGGCGUCACGUUAAAAUUUACGAAAUUGCUACACAUUUGUUGUUUAUUUUAGAAGUCGUACCGGGUCGUUACGAAUAGAAAAAUUAAAUUUUACCCCCGGUUUACCAUGUACAUGCGUAUCUCAUGGAAACAAGUUGUUUAUUACCUGAAAAAUGAAGACUGAAUUGAAGAAUGUUGUCUCUUUUUCAAAAUAAUCCUGAAGCAUGCCAGUGUUUACUCAUAAUCAUAAGGUUAGCUUAAAGAUUUUUGGGACCGAGGUUGCUUCCUUUUAUAUGAAUGAAUUCGAAUCUAAAAAAUGUAAAAUACAAACUGUUGUGUUGUUGUCGAACGAAGUUUGGGCUGUUAGUUAGAAAUAUUUUUUUUAAAAAAGAAACACGUACGAUGAUAUAGCAUCACAAAGAGAAUUGAUUGGAAAUGUAUCAAAAAAUUAUAUACGCUUUCAAUUUAUUCUGUUUGGGAUGAAGCGAAGUUUAGUAUUCGAAAUAAAAAUCUGAUUGAACUUUCAUCCAGAGAACGCUAGCAAGCCGCCUAUAGAGAAAGCGAAAGGAAAGCAGGUGUGUUGUUUAGAUUAUUUGCUAGAGAAAUGAAUUUGGGUGUAUAACGAUUUUUUAGCCGUUUUAACUUUUAAAGCUAAAUUUUCCCUUAAAUAUUAAGUUUCUUGUUGUGUCUUGAGCCGGAAAAUAUUUUCUUAAAGCACUUUUUUUGCAAGAAUAAACUCUGAACAAUGGGUCAGAAGUUAAGAAUAUCCUAAGAAUAUGUCUAAGCUUGAUUGUUUGUUCUAAAUAUGAACAUUUGUAUGACGCACAAAAUUGAUUAGAAGUUUACUUUUUUAUUGUAUAUAAAACAAACUGAACUUUUGUCGCUCCAAAGCAGUGGACCGUAAUGGAAUAGAAUUUUCCAUUACCUAUAGCAAGUGGUAGCAGGCUUUAUUUUAUUACGACAUGAUAUAUUUUCAGGCUAAGAACAUAUAAAAAAUAAUGAGGAUAGUAUUUGCUAAAAAAGUUAAGAACACGGCGAAGACUGAAACGAAAACACACUAUUCUUAUAAAAACAGCGUGUAUCCUAAAGAAGAAUUUAUAUAAACUGUAAAAAGUAAUUUUCUGUUUUUACUGUUUUCAACACUACAGAGUGUGGUGAUACA
Molecule: RNA transcript, 12485 nt
Organism: Hydractinia symbiolongicarpus
Lineage: Eukaryota; Metazoa; Cnidaria; Hydrozoa; Anthoathecata; Hydractiniidae
Gene name: la-related protein 7-like
Exons: 14
Source: RefSeq, a predicted model, not a curated record